ACUGGGACUGAGACACGGACCAUACUCCUACGGGAGGCAGCAGUGGGGAAUUUUCCGCAAUGGGCGCAAGCCUGACGGAGCAAUACCGCGUGAGGGAGGAAGGCCUUUGGGUUGUAAACCUCUUUUCUUAAGGAAGAAGAUCUGACGGUACUUAAGGAAUCAGCAUCGGCUAACUCCGUGCCAGCAGCCGCGGUAAUACGGAGGAUGCAAGCGUUAUCCGGAAUUAUUGGGCGUAAAGCGUCCGCAGGCGGCAUUAUAAGUCUGCUGUCAAAGACCGCAGCUCAACUGCGGAAAGGCAGUGGAAACUGUAAAGCUAGAGUACGGUAGGGGUAGAGGGAAUUCCCAGUGUAGCGGUGAAAUGCGUAGAUAUUGGGAAGAACACCAGUGGCGAAAGCGCUCUACUGGGCCGUAACUGACGCUCAGGGACGAAAGCUAGGGGAGCGAAAGGGAUUAGAUACCCCUGUAGUCCUAGCUGUAAACGAUGGAUACUAGGCGUAGCUUGUAUCGACCCGAGCUGUGCCGAAGCUAACGCGUUAAGUAUCCCGCCUGGGGAGUACGCACGCAAGUGUGAAACUCAAAGGAAUUGACGGGGGCCCGCACAAGCGGUGGAGUAUGUGGUUUAAUUCGAUGCAACGCGAAGAACCUUACCAGGGCUUGACAUGUCGCGAAUCUAGGGGAAACUUUAGAGUGCCUUCGGGAACGCGAACACAGGUGGUGCAUGGCUG
Molecule: ribosomal RNA, 725 nt
Filed under: uncultured cyanobacterium
Lineage: Bacteria; Bacillati; Cyanobacteriota
Description: bacterial SSU rRNA
Rfam family: Bacterial small subunit ribosomal RNA
Source: RNAcentral